RNA transcript from Vigna angularis (adzuki bean), 2133 nucleotides. It is a transcript of the gene named CMP-sialic acid transporter 3, with no coding region annotated. The transcript is spliced from 16 exons. The record is from RefSeq and is a predicted model, not a curated record. Lineage: Eukaryota; Viridiplantae; Streptophyta; Magnoliopsida; Fabales; Fabaceae.
AAGCAAACAAAUUAGGCCAUAAAACGCUCUCUCUUUUAUUCCAAAUCGCAAAUCUCGAAAACAAAAACAAAAACAGAAAGCAGUCCUCUCUCUCUCUCUUUCUUUCUCUCUUUCUAAAUCUCUCUCUUUGCAAAUUUAAAAUCCAAUUUCCAUUUCCAUUCACAGAAAGAAGGAAAGAAGGAAAGAAGGAAGGAAACACAGUGAAAUCGGAAUCGUUUUUUCUGUCUGAAAUUCGCAGGCGCGCUCGUUUCUCUGUUGAACAGCUUCGAAUCGCUUGCCGGCAGCUGCAGAUCAAUUCGAGUUUCACCUGAAUGCUCCUUCUGGACUCGAUUUAGAUCGAGUUCUUCAUACCCUGGUAGUGUGGGAAAUUUAUAUGAAGAACGGGAUGAUAGAAUGCAGUGUUUGCCAUUCCAAAUUGGUUUCCCCUUCCGCCAAAACUAUCUCAAGGGCUUAUGAUCGCCACAAAAAUAGGAUAACAUCCAAGCAACGUGUACUCAAUGUCUUUUUGGUUGUUGGUGAUUGUGUUCUUGUAGGCUUCCAGCCUAUCCUUGUCUAUAUGUCCAAGGUGGAUGGGAAGUUCAAUUUUAGCCCUAUUAGUGUUAAUUUUUUGACCGAGAUUACAAAGGUUUUCUUUGCUAUUGUUAUGCUUAUUCUCCAGGCUAGGCAUCAAAAAGUUGGGGAGAAACCUCUUCUCUCAAUUUCUACAUUCAUGCAGGCAGCUCGUAGCAAUGCCCUUCUGGCAGUUCCUGCACUUCUGUAUGCUAUAAACAACUAUCUGAAGUUUAUCAUGCAGCUUUAUUUUAACCCUGCUACUGUGAAGAUGUUAAGUAAUUUAAAGGUUUUAGUAAUAGCACUUUUGCUAAAGGUGAUUAUGAAGCGUCAGUUUUCCGUCAUUCAGUGGGAAGCUCUUGCUCUCUUGCUCAUUGGUAUAAGCGUUAAUCAGCUAAGAUCUUUACCUGAAGGAACUACAGCUUUGGGUCUUCCUGUCACAAUGGGUGCAUAUCUCUAUACAUUGAUCUUUGUCACUGUUCCAUCAUUGGCCUCUGUUUAUAAUGAGUACGCAUUGAAGAGCCAAUAUGAUACAAGCAUUUAUCUGCAGAAUCUAUUCUUAUAUGGAUAUGGAGCUAUAUUCAAUUUUCUUGGGAUACUCGGGACUGCUAUUUUCAAAGGGCCUAGUAGCUUUGAUAUACUACAAGGUCAUUCAAAAGCCACGAUGCUAUUGAUCGCAAACAACGCUGCUCAAGGGAUUUUAUCCUCUUUCUUCUUCAAAUAUGCAGAUACAAUUUUGAAGAAGUACUCAUCAACGGUAGCCACAAUCUUUACUGGUAUAGCAUCUGCUGUACUAUUUGGACAUACUUUAACAAUGAACUUCGUUAUCGGCAUUUCUAUUGUAUUCAUCUCAAUGCACCAGUUCUUUUCACCAAUUGCAAAAGCUAAAGAUGAACAGAAUGGUAUGCUGGAACUGCAUGAUGUUCAUGACAGACAAAGAUCAAAGGAUUCCUUUAUAAAUAUGGCAGCUGGAGCAAAUGAGGAGGCUUCUCAUCGCGUGGGACAUGAUGAGAGACAGCCACUUCUUCCCUCCUAGAUUGAUCUACUGUAUGUUCUCUGUCCUUUUCUAGCCCAAGCUAUACCUGUGAGUUUUCAUAAAAAACAAUUGGUUAUAUUGCUGGUAUCAUUUGACCACGUCACACAUUUUAAAGUCAAAAUAAAGUAAAAGAAAAUUAUUUCUGCCUUUCUGGGAUAGCUUUCCUCUGAUGGGAUUCUCUCUACUUGGUUCAUGAAGAAAGGCAUGGAAUCUUGACUUCAGGAACUGGUCAACAAGCCAUGACUUUCAGCUGCUGAAGAUUUUGAUAGAGCAUAGAGAAUGGCUACGCAAGAGCUUUAGGCAUAUCAAUGUGGAUUCACGUGUACUACAUUUUUUUUUCUUGGACAUUAUAUUUCUCUUUCUCAAUUUGCUUUGAUGGUAUAUUUACCUUAUCCUGGCCUAGAAGAAUUAUUGUGUUAUUAUUUACAUUUAUUACAUGAUUUUGGCAUUUCAUCUUUAUGAAAUUACAGUUAAAUAAAGUGAGUUCCUUUGUAGAAAGUGGUGUUGGGGUGCAUAUAAAAAGCAAUGGGAAAUAUCAUGUUUACAGA